Molecule: long non-coding RNA, 379 nt
Organism: Gadus macrocephalus (Pacific cod)
Lineage: Eukaryota; Metazoa; Chordata; Actinopteri; Gadiformes; Gadidae
Exons: 3
Source: RefSeq, a predicted model, not a curated record
AAAAAGAGUCGGAGCACUUAGUGGAGGUCCGGAGCCAAGUGGCUGAACGAAGGAGAGUUACGUCGGCUAACUGCUUGCCUGUCCUCCGGAGAGCUGCUACGAGGUUCGGCAUCGGCAUGCUCCACCUUGAUACACAGAGCAACGGUCAGGUUUUUUAGAGGACUGAGAGUCUGAGGUUCAGGACAACUUCCUGCUGUGAAAGAUGGCGAGCCAACUACCCUGAUUGAAGAUUAGCACCGAGGAGAUAUUCACGUACACACUCAUUCACACAAAUAAUACACUCACAUUACACUACAAGGAACCUUGGAAUCAGGUGAACUUUCAACAACUCCUUUUAUUUUAAGGGCCCCAACAGACAUUUUUGUUUUAAGUGUGCACA